CCUACGGGAGGCUGCAGUGGGGAAUAUUGCACAAUGGGGGGAACCCCGAUGCAGCGACGCCGCGUGAGUGAAGAAGUAUUUCGGUAUGUAAAGCUCUAUCAGCAGGGAAGAAAAUGACGGUACCUGACUAAGAAGCCCCGGCUAACUACGUGCCAGCAGCCGCGGUAAUACGUAGGGGGCAAGCGUUAUCCGGAUUUACUGGGUGUAAAGGGAGCGUAGACGGUUAUGCAAGUCUGAAGUGAAAGCCCAAGGCUCAACCAUGGGACUGCUUUGGAAACUGUUUUUCUUGAGUACCGGAGAGGUCAUCGGAAUUCCUUGUGUAGCGGUGAAAGGCGUAGAUAUAAGGAAGAACACCAGUGGCGAAGGCGGAUGACUGGACGGCAACUGACGGUGAGGCGCGAAAGCGUGGGGAGCAAACAGGAUUAGAUACCCGGUAGUC
Molecule: ribosomal RNA, 439 nt
Filed under: uncultured bacterium
Lineage: Bacteria
Description: partial 16S ribosomal RNA
Rfam family: Bacterial small subunit ribosomal RNA
Source: RNAcentral